AAAGGAAUAGACGGGGGCCCGCACAAGCGGUGGAGCAUGUGGUUCAAUUCGAAGCAACGCGCAGAACCUUACCAGCCCUUGACAUCCCGGUCGCGAGUACCAGAGAUGGAACUCUUCAGUUAGGCUGGACCGGAGACAGGUGCUGCAUGGCUGUCGUCAGCUCGUGUCGUGAGAUGUUGGGUUAAGUCCCGCAACGAGCGCAACCCUCGCCCUUAGUUGCCAUCAUUUAGUUGGGCACUCUAAGGGGACUGCCGGUGAUAAGCCGCGAGGAAGGUGGGGAUGACGUCAAGUCCUCAUGGCCCUUACGGGCUGGGCUACACACGUGCUACAAUGGCGGUGACAAUGGGAUGCAAUGGGGAAACCCUGCGCAAAUCUCAAAAAGCCGUCUCAGUUCGGAUUGUGCUCUGCAACUCGAGCACAUGAAGUUGGAAUCGCUAGUAAUCGCAGAUCAGCACGCUGCGGUGAAUACGUUCCCGGGCCUUGUACACACCGCCCGU
Molecule: ribosomal RNA, 497 nt
Filed under: uncultured bacterium
Lineage: Bacteria
Description: bacterial SSU rRNA
Rfam family: Bacterial small subunit ribosomal RNA
Source: RNAcentral